AUGAACGCUGGCGGCGUGCCUAAUCCAUGCAAGUCGAGCUAACAGACGAGGAGCUUGCUCCUCUGACGUUAGCGGCGGACGGGUGAGUAACACGUGGAUAACCUACCUAUAAGACUGGGAUAACUUUGGGAAACCGGAGCUAAUACCGGAUAAUAUAUUGAACCGCAUGGUUCAAUAGUGAAAGACGGUUUUGCUGUCACUUAUAGAUGGAUCCGCGCCGCAUUAGCUAGUUGGUAAGGUAACGGCUUACCAAGGCGGCGAUGCGUAGCCGACCUGAGAGGGUGAUUGGCCACACUGGAACUGAGAAACGUUACAGACUCCUAGGGGAGGCAGCAGUAGGGAAUCUUCCGCAAUGGGCGAAAGCCUGACGGAACAACGCCGCGUGAUGUAUGAAGGUCUUCGGAUCGUAAAACUCUGUUAUUAGGGAAGAACAAAUGUGUAAGUAACUAUGCACGUCUUGACGGUACCUAAUCAGAAAGGCACGGCUAACUACGUG
This 496-nucleotide ribosomal RNA is filed under the name uncultured bacterium. RNAcentral's name for it is "partial 16S ribosomal RNA". It matches the Rfam family "Bacterial small subunit ribosomal RNA", at positions 29 to 507 of the family's 1533-position model. The record is from RNAcentral.